UUUUUCUUUUUUCCUUCCUUCACGUGAAAUCUCUUCCCCCCUCUCAACCUUCUUCUUCUUCCUUCUCUUUCUUUUCCCAAUCGCUAGCUUCCCCGACAAGAUCCGACGAACGGUAGCACACCUCCCAACAACACACUCCGACGUACCACGGCGCAGCAAGAAACUUGGCGGGCAGCGGCGUCCUACUCUAUUUCGCGGCAGUUUGAGGUGGGCGCGGCGGUCUGUUGUGUUGGACGACGUCUCGAGGGUUCGGUGGCAACCAACGACCCAUCUUAACUCAGUCUGAGAGACCCCCACACUCUUGUGGCGACUUUACUGCUUUAAGGACAUUUUCGAUGCAUUCUGCUGCUGUAAAAAAUGCUAACAGCUUGUUUUCUUGGUAUUUGGUGAUUACCCAGUUUCAUUUGAGGCUCAAUUCACACUACCCAUACUUUUUCAAGCUAGAUCUAAGCUACCCACACCUAAGCGAAGUCGUUUUGUAGUAAUGGAUUGCAAAACAAAGUCGUUGGACAUUGUUUUGGCACGUUCCUCUGCUUCAAAAUGUGGACAGCAGCAGUUUCGUGGUGUUUGGCACUUACCUACACCCGUUCGAAGCCCGAUUUACGUUACCCACCCUUGCUCGAGUUAGAUAUGAGUUACCCACACCUAUGCAAAGUUGUCUUGUAAUAACGGAUAGCAAAACGCAGUCGUUGGAAGUUGUUUCGACUCGUUCAUCUGUUACAAAACGUGGACAGCAGCAGUUUCAUGGUGUUUGGCGCUUACCCACACCCAUUUGAAGCCCGAUUUACGUUACCCACCCUUGCUCGAGUUAGAUAUGAAUUACCCACACUCAAACAAGUCGUUUUUGUGGUGUCGAGGGAAUGGAAGAAUUAGGAACAUUAGGAGUGGUUUUGCAGGUAUCGAGCUAACUCUUGGAAUGGUGAUGGCGAGGAGGAGACUUGACUAGAGAGACCAUUUAACACUGCGUUGUUAAGUCUCAUUUUGAAUAGGAUAGCUAUCGAGUCUGUUAUAAGGUUAAUAAAUUGGUUUGUUUAAGUUCCUUAUUUAAGGGAUGUUUUAGGAUUGACAGUUCGUUAUUCUUGAGAACAUUAAUUUUGUUUAGCUACUUGAACUGUGGUGAUGUAGUCUAUCGAAGAUAUUUAUCAGUAUACUACAUUUAUUCAAGUUGAACUUGAGUUGGC
Molecule: long non-coding RNA, 1181 nt
Organism: Momordica charantia (bitter melon)
Lineage: Eukaryota; Viridiplantae; Streptophyta; Magnoliopsida; Cucurbitales; Cucurbitaceae
Source: RefSeq, a predicted model, not a curated record